UACAGGAGGUUCAUGUCUAUCCUGUUACCGCUACUUAAAUCAGUCGUUAAAUUAUUCUCCCUAUGAAUAUUGAAUCAGUCAGUGUUGAUUUCAAAAAUGCAAAGUAAUCUUUACAUUUAAAACGCCUCGUUUCUUGAACGACAGUGUAGAGAAAAGAAAUUUCAAGACAUUUAGUGAAAAAAAUAGAGCGUACUUUUUUUCAUGUCUAUGCUGUUACCGACCAUUUUGAUUAAUUACACUAACGGUAUGGUUGUAAAAAGUGCAAUAACGUGUUGGAAACCAAAUUCACAAUAGAAAACCAUAAUCACUUCACCAAAGGGAGUAGUUAUUUCACAACACGCA
This 342-nucleotide long non-coding RNA is filed under the name Mytilus galloprovincialis (Mediterranean mussel). The record is from RNAcentral. Lineage: Eukaryota; Metazoa; Mollusca; Bivalvia; Mytilida; Mytilidae.